AGGGAGAAGGUGAGUCAUACGCCCCUCCCACAAUUACAGGCCAAAAGGCCUUAAUACAUAUAUAUAUAUAUAUAUAUAUAUAUAUAUAUAUAUAUAUAUAUAUAUAUAUAUAUAUAUAUAUAUAUAUAUAUAUAUAUAUAUAAUAUUUUAUAUUUUUUAUUGGGGUAGCCCCCAAAAUAUUGGGACAUAUUAAAAAACGACAACUCUGUUCCGUGACGGCGACUUUGCAUUCGGAUGUCAUCCAUAUCAACUUUCGAUGCCAGUUUCUGCGCCUACCAUGGUGACCACAGGUAACAGGGAAUCAGGGUUCCAUUCCGUACAGGGACCCUGAGAAACAGCUACCACAUGCAAGGAAGGCAGCAGGCGCGCAAAUGACCCACUCCCGACGCGGGAAGGUAGUGACGACAAAUAACAAUACAGGACUCUUUAGAGGCCCUGUAAUUGUAAUGAGUCCACUUGAAAUCCUUUAACUCUGAUCAAUUGGAGGGAAGUCUGGUGCAGAGCCACUGACCCGUGCGUGCUGCAGCUGAAACUCCACU
This 539-nucleotide ribosomal RNA is filed under the name Pelobates cultripes (western spadefoot toad). It matches the Rfam family "Eukaryotic small subunit ribosomal RNA", at positions 61 to 590 of the family's 1831-position model. The record is from RNAcentral. Lineage: Eukaryota; Metazoa; Chordata; Amphibia; Anura; Pelobatidae.